Molecule: ribosomal RNA, 699 nt
Filed under: uncultured fungus
Lineage: Eukaryota; Fungi
Description: SSU rRNA
Rfam family: Eukaryotic small subunit ribosomal RNA
Source: RNAcentral
AUGAUUAAUAGGGACAGUCGGGGGCAUCAGUAUUCAAUUGUCAGAGGUGAAAUUCUUGGAUUUAUUGAAGACUAACUACUGCGAAAGCAUUUGCCAAGGAUGUUUUCAUUAAUCAGGAACGAAAGUUAGGGGAUCGAAGACGAUCAGAUACCGUCGUAGUCUUAACCAUAAACUAUGCCGACUAGGGAUCGGACGAUGUUAUUUUUUGACGCGUUCGGCACCUUACGAGAAAUCAAAGUGCUUGGGCUCCAGGGGGAGUAUGGUCGCAAGGCUGAAACUUAAAGAAAUCGACGGAAGGGCACCACCAGGGGUGGAGCCUGCGGCUUAAUUUGACUCAACACGGGGAAACUCACCAGGUCCAGACACAAUGAGGAUUGACAGAUUGAGAGCUCUUUCUUGAUUUUGUGGGUGGUGGUGCAUGGCCGUUCUUAGUUGGUGGAGUGAUUUGUCUGCUUAAUUGCGAUAACGAACGAGACCUUAACCUGCUAAAUAGCCCGUAUUGCUUUGGCAGUACGCCGGCUUCUUAGAGGGACUAUCGGCCCAAGCCGAUGGAAGUUUGAGGCAAUAACAGGUCUGUGAUGCCCUUAGAUGUUCUGGGCCGCACGCGCGCUACACUGACGGAGCCAGCGAGUACUUCCUUGGCCGAAAGGCCCGGGUAAUCUUGUUAAACUCCGUCGUGCUGGGGAUAGAGCAUUGCAA